RNAcentral lists this transfer-messenger RNA (372 nucleotides) under Chloroflexota bacterium. It matches the Rfam family "transfer-messenger RNA". Rfam says of the family: Bacterial tmRNA, also known as 10Sa RNA or SsrA, is named for its dual tRNA and mRNA-like properties. Its role is to liberate the mRNA from a stalled ribosome. The record is from RNAcentral. Lineage: Bacteria; Bacillati; Chloroflexota.
GGGGAUGCGUGGUCUCGACAGGGUCGGAUCCCCGGAGAACGCGAGUCGAGGUUGUCGCUAGGCCUCGUUAAUCAGGCGACAAAACGAAGUAACUGGCAAUCGUCAGCCUGCUCUCGCCUUCGCUGCUUAGGCAGUAAAGUGAGCGUGGAAGCGGCCUCAUCCUCGUGGGCCGUGGAAGCGUCAAUCAGCGAGGAUGCGCUCCCGGUCAGCGUCACGUAACCAGGAGUCAAGCCCGAAAGGGGGCGUGACUGGAGCCCGCCGCACGGUGCCGAUGUUGGGUUGCGGGUUCGACGACAAAUCAUCGGACACACUCGUAGUGGUCUCCGGCUGAAGGUUCUGGACGGGGAGUUCGACUCUCCCCCAUCUCCACCA